This 73-nucleotide transfer RNA is filed under the name Trichonephila inaurata madagascariensis. It matches the Rfam family "tRNA". Rfam says of the family: Transfer RNA (tRNA) molecules are approximately 80 nucleotides in length. Their secondary structure includes four short double-helical elements and three loops (D, anti-codon, and T loops). The record is from Rfam by way of RNAcentral. Lineage: Eukaryota; Metazoa; Arthropoda; Arachnida; Araneae; Nephilidae.
GUCCCUGUAGCGCAAUAAAUAGUGGGUUGGACAUCUAAUCCAAAGGUUGUGGGUUCGAAUCCCACCUGGGAUG